RNAcentral lists this long non-coding RNA (985 nucleotides) under Marmota monax (woodchuck). The record is from RNAcentral. Lineage: Eukaryota; Metazoa; Chordata; Mammalia; Rodentia; Sciuridae.
UCCUGACGGCAAGGAUCAGUAGAGGCCGCGUGUCGGCCCGGGAUGAAGCGGGCAGUGUCGGGAGGCCUCCUGCGGAAGUGCUUUUGGUGUAAGGUGCAGUGGCCUCUGGGUGAGGUGGUGGCUUGGCAGUCUUGUGAGGGGCGCCUGUCAUCGGGCACCAGAUCCCCUCCUUUAGAACCUCCGGGCUGUAUUGAAUUUCUGGUCAGUGCCCAACCAAAGCGACUCCAUUGCCUCAGUCCGGCUGCAGCAAAAUAACGGGGGGGGGGGGGGUGACGAACAACUUGUGUAGAUUGAUACAGCAGGAGUGGGAGCCGUUUAUUGUAGGACAACAGAGGUAUUUAUACAUUCCACACAGCUUAUCUUAAUUAGCAUAAACUAGAUACAUCAGUCAACCAAUAAGGAAUCUCCACACUUAAUGGCUCGCUGGUGUUACUUCACAAACCACUCCCUCUGGCAUUUUGCCAGGCGCCAUCCAGACUUGUUUAUAGACUCUAACACUCCAUCUUGAUUUGGAUGGCUUCGCAGUCCCUAGCGCUCUACCACCUAGUCCCUAGUCUAGUAGCCAGGCCAUCCGUGGUAGCUUUCGGGGUUUCACUUCAUCACCACCCCCUCGAAAAUGACCCCCACCUGCACAGGGGCUGCUCGACUGUUCCCUUGGGUACUGGGAGAUAUUUUUGAGUGCUCAUGCACAGCACUUCACAGUUUGUAAAGCACUUCCUCUGAUCUCUGAAGUGCCCUGCGAAGUCUGAUCGCUGCAAAACCUCUGGAGCCAUCAAUGGCAAAGGGUCUAAAGGCCACAGGAGGCUCAGGCUCAGGCCCUGCCGUCCGCCCUGCUCCCCCGAACUCCAAAGCUUUUCUUACCAUCCUCUGACAUCUGAAGGAUCGUGUUCCCAACACACAGAACCCCAAGCCAGGGAGGUGCUGUCAUGGGGCUAUACUUGGUUAGGAUCAGGUGGUGACCUUCUUAGCCUGGCACACACCUGUG